UACGUAGGGGGCAAGCGUUGUCCGGAUUUAUUGGGCGUAAAGAGCGUGUAGGCGGCUAGAUAGGUCCGUUGUGAAAACUCGAGGCUCAACCUCGAGACGUCGAUGGAAACCAUCUGGCUAGAGUCCGGAAGAGGAGAGUGGAAUUCCUGGUGUAGCGGUGAAAUGCGCAGAUAUCAGGAAGAACACCCGUGGCGAAGGCGGCUCUCUGGGACGGUACUGUCGCUGAGACGCGAAAGCGUGGGGAGCGAACAGG
RNAcentral lists this ribosomal RNA (253 nucleotides) under uncultured bacterium. RNAcentral's name for it is "partial 16S ribosomal RNA". It matches the Rfam family "Bacterial small subunit ribosomal RNA", at positions 524 to 776 of the family's 1533-position model. The record is from RNAcentral.